GGGUUGUGAGGUUAAGCGACUAAGCGUACACGGUGGAUGCCCUGGCAGUCAGAGGCGAUGAAGGACGUGCUAAUCUGCGAAAAGCGUCGGUAAGGUGAUAUGAACCGUUACAGCCGGCGAUGUCCGAAUGGGGAAACCCAGUGCAAUUCGUUGCACUAUCGUUAACUGAAUACAUAGGUUAACGAGGCGAACCGGGGGAACUGAAACAUCUAAGUACCCCGAGGAAAAGAAAUCAACCGAGAUUCCCCCAGUAGCGGCGAGCGAACGGGGAGCAGCCCAGAGUCUGAAUCAGCUUGUGUGUUAGUGGAACGGUCUGGAAAGUCCGACGGUACAGGGUGAUAGUCCCGUACACCAAAAUGCACAGGCUGUGAACUCGAAGAGUAGGGCGGGACACGUGGUAUCCUGUCUGAAUAUGGGGGACCAUCCUCCAAGGCUAAAUACUCCUGACUGACCGAUAGUGAACCAGUACCGUGAGGGAAAGGCGAAAAGAACCCCGGCGAGGGGAGUGAAAAAGAACCUGAAACCGUGUACGUACAAGCAGUGGGAGCACCUUCGGGUGUGACUGCGUACCUUUUGUAUAAUGGGUCAGCGACUUAUAUUCUGUAGCAAGGUUAACCGUAUAGGGGAGCCGCAGGGAAACCGAGUCUUAACUGGGCGUUAAGUUGCAGGGUAUAGACCCGAAACCCGGUGAUCUAGCCAUGGGCAGGUUGAAGGUUGGGUAACACUAACUGGAGGACCGAACCGACUAAUGUUGAAAAAUUAGCGGAUGACUUGUGGCUGGGGGUGAAAGGCCAAUCAAACCGGGAGAUAGCUGGUUCUCCCGAAAGCUAUUUAGGUAGCGCCUCGUGAACUCAUCUUCGGGGUAGAGCACUGUUUCGGCUAGGGGGUCAUCCCGACUUACCAACCCGAUGCAAACUACGAAUACCGAAGAAUGUUAUCACGGGAGACACACGGCGGGUGCUAACGUCCGUCGUGAAGAGGGAAACAACCCAGACCGCCAGCUAAGGUCCCAAAGUCAUGGUUAAGUGGGAAACGAUGUGGGAAGGCACAGACAGCCAGGAUGUUGGCUUAGAAGCAGCCAUCAUUUAAAGAAAGCGUAAUAGCUCACUGGUCGAGUCGGCCUGCGCGGAAGAUGUAACGGGGCUAAACCAUGCACCGAAGCUGCGGCAGCGACACUAUGUGUUGUUGGGUAGGGGAGCGUUCUGUAAGCCUGCGAAGGUGUGCUGUGAGGCAUGCUGGAGGUAUCAGAAGUGCGAAUGCUGACAUAAGUAACGAUAAAGCGGGUGAAAAGCCCGCUCGCCGGAAGACCAAGGGUUCCUGUCCAACGUUAAUCGGGGCAGGGUGAGUCGACCCCUAAGGCGAGGCCGAAAGGCGUAGUCGAUGGGAAACAGGUUAAUAUUCCUGUACUUGGUGUUACUGCGAAGGGGGGACGGAGAAGGCUAUGUUAGCCGGGCGACGGUUGUCCCGGUUUAAGCAUGUAGGCUGGUUGUCCAGGCAAAUCCGGAUAAUCAAGGCUGAGGUGUGAUGACGAGGCACUACGGUGCUGAAGUAACAAAUGCCCUGCUUCCAGGAAAAGCCUCUAAGCAUCAGGUAACAUUAAAUCGUACCCCAAACCGACACAGGUGGUCAGGUAGAGAAUACCAAGGCGCUUGAGAGAACUCGGGUGAAGGAACUAGGCAAAAUGGUGCCGUAACUUCGGGAGAAGGCACGCUGGUGUGUAGGUGAAGUCCCUGCGGAUGGAGCUGAGACCAGUCGAAGAUACCAGCUGGCUGCAACUGUUUAUUAAAAACACAGCACUGUGCAAACACGAAAGUGGACGUAUACGGUGUGACGCCUGCCCGGUGCCGGAAGGUUAAUUGAUGGGGUUAUCCGUAAGGAGAAGCUCUUGAUCGAAGCCCCGGUAAACGGCGGCCGUAACUAUAACGGUCCUAAGGUAGCGAAAUUCCUUGUCGGGUAAGUUCCGACCUGCACGAAUGGCGUAAUGAUGGCCAGGCUGUCUCCACCCGAGACUCAGUGAAAUUGAACUCGCUGUGAAGAUGCAGUGUACCCGCGGCAAGACGGAAAGACCCCGUGAACCUUUACUAUAGCUUGACACUGAACAUUGAGCCUUGAUGUGUAGGAUAGGUGGGAGGCUUUGAAGCGUGGACGCCAGUCUGCGUGGAGCCAACCUUGAAAUACCACCCUUUAAUGUUUGAUGUUCUAACGUUGGCCCCUUAUCGGGGUUGCGGACAGUGUCUGGUGGGUAGUUUGACUGGGGCGGUCUCCUCCCAAAGCGUAACGGAGGAGCACGAAGGUUAGCUAAUCCUGGUCGGACAUCAGGAGGUUAGUGCAAUGGCAUAAGCUAGCUUGACUGCGAGCGUGACGGCGCGAGCAGGUGCGAAAGCAGGUCAUAGUGAUCCGGUGGUUCUGAAUGGAAGGGCCAUCGCUCAACGGAUAAAAGGUACUCCGGGGAUAACAGGCUGAUACCGCCCAAGAGUUCAUAUCGACGGCGGUGUUUGGCACCUCGAUGUCGGCUCAUCACAUCCUGGGGCUGAAGUAGGUCCCAAGGGUAUGGCUGUUCGCCAUUUAAAGUGGUACGCGAGCUGGGUUUAGAACGUCGUGAGACAGUUCGGUCCCUAUCUGCCGUGGGCGCUGGAGAAUUGAGGGGGGCUGCUCCUAGUACGAGAGGACCGGAGUGGACGCAUCACUGGUGUUCGGGUUGUCAUGCCAAUGGCACUGCCCGGUAGCUAAAUGCGGAAGAGAUAAGUGCUGAAAGCAUCUAAGCACGAAACUUGCCCCGAGAUGAGUUCUCCCUGAGACUUUAAGUCUCCUGAAGGAACGUUGAAGACGACGACGUUGAUAGGCCGGGUGUGUAAGCGCAGCGAUGCGUUGAGCUAACCGGUACUAAUGAACCGUGAGGCUUAACCUUACAACGCCGAAG
This 2920-nucleotide ribosomal RNA is filed under the name Klebsiella pneumoniae. Its description in RNAcentral is "23S ribosomal RNA". It matches the Rfam family "Bacterial large subunit ribosomal RNA". Lineage: Bacteria; Pseudomonadati; Pseudomonadota; Gammaproteobacteria; Enterobacterales; Enterobacteriaceae. The record is from RNAcentral.